This is a long non-coding RNA of Galleria mellonella (greater wax moth), 1650 nucleotides long. RefSeq lists it as uncharacterized. The transcript has 3 exons. The record is from RefSeq and is a predicted model, not a curated record. NCBI's taxonomy places the organism in Eukaryota, Metazoa, Arthropoda, Insecta, Lepidoptera, Pyralidae.
GUUCGCACAUCGAACUGAGCACCCAUUUUAAUCAUAAUUAGACACUUUAGGGAAUUUAUAUUGCAAUUUUUAUUAUUAAAUUUAGUAAAAUUUCGCUUUCUUUGGAACGCUCCAGUUGUCCUCGUAAUUGGCGCAUGCAGCAGGACAGUUGGAGUCAGUGUUCGCCGCAGUCGGUAUCCAGCUGCGACAGUCGCUGCUCCUAUUCGUGGCCACUGAUUGAGCUGUCAAGCUUUCAAGUGUCCUGACUUUGGGAGACGAAGCCAAAGAUCCAAGCGUAGAUACAACCCGAGAACAAACGAGAUGCUGCUCAUAAUGGAACCUCAACACCGAGCUGGAACCAGAUGACAGUAUGAACUACUCAAACGCCGUACUCUCCGAGGAUAUAGCACGGAAUAUGACGGAGACGAAGCAGGCGGAGGAUGCCGAACGCGUCAUGGACACGCUGUUCAUAGACAACUGCGAUCACAAACGACUCAAAGUUAUUCGCAACGAAGCAGACGUUACUGGACCAUUGCAAAGUACAUUUCGACGUGUGCACUGAAACGACGCUCAAGAAAUGCCCCCAAGGAACAUCCAUGGACGAGUUCGUUUGACCACCAAUAUUUCUCACGAGAGACUUUGUACAAGUCGUCUGCAUGGGUACCUCUGUCUCACCCGUGUUCCCGCCGUGAAGCAGCUGUGCUCGCAUGGCUGUGUUUCGACUCGAAGAAUGGGAUAUGGCAGCGAGAUCACAGGACUCAGAGGCACAACACCAUAAUCCUCGAGGGGGGAAGGGAUUGCUAGUAAUGCGGACUAUCAGCCCCAUUGCUAGCAAUAUACUCUAACAGGUCGACCUCCACGCGGUACCCCCUGGAAACCAUCGUGAUCAAUCAUUGUUCAAUUGGUCACGAUGGGCCAACUGGCCUGUGCCCAUGGCGUCCCGCCGGCGUACACCGCUAGUGCGCGCUGGGCUGCCAUGGACACCACCACGCCAUUAUUCGUGGUGGAUAUAAAAUAAUCUAAUAGGAGUGGUUUAAGUAUAUCAUUUUAAUAUAGUUUUUUUUUCUUUCAUUUUAUUUCGUUUUUAGCGUAAGGCAUUAGUAAGUUUCCCACUUGCCCGCGGGGGCUGGUGGGCCGGUGGGCUGGUUUCCUAUGCAGAGGAUCCAGGUAGAUGAUAUGUCGAGUAAAACUAUCCAUUUAAAAUUUUUUUUUUCUUUUCUUUAGUUUAACUUUAGCGUAAGGAAGUGUGACGCCUAAUUCGUGCAGCUUCCGACUUGUCCCCGGGGGCUGCUGCUAAUUACGAUGUCCGGAAAUACAUAAUAGUGAUAUAUUGUGAUUUUUUAUUAUAAACAUCAUAUGGAACGCGUGCAGUGACAUUUUUGAUACACUGUAAUAGCUUUUAUACAACUUUCUAAUUCUUGUUAGAACAAACAUUUGUUAGUUUAAGCACUUUUUUUUUUUAGUUUAAUCGCAUGUUAGAUUAAGAAUUAAGAAUUAUGCAUGUUAGAUAAAGAUUAAGAAUUUUUUAGCUUAAGAAGCCAAUGUCUGCAAAACCUUUGUUAUUUUAUGCAACUUUCAGCUUAGUAGAUAACGGAAGUCUAUUAAUUUUAAGUGACUUUCAUUAGUAAUUCCUUUUCUUUAAUUUUUCUAAAUAAAUAGUUUUUAUUUAUA